GGGCUUGACUGGUUUCGACGGGGUAUUUUAAGCCAAAGAAGCUAUCCGCGGGAAGGCGCGUUAGACCGCAAAUUAAAUAUAAUCGCUGAAGAUAAUUUAGCAUUCGCUGCCUAAGUGCAGCGUGUCCUCUCUAGUGCACUCACACAUUAGAACCAGGGCAUCGAGCUUGUGAGAAACGCUUAUGCAAAGCUUUGCGCAUAAGGCAGAUUUAUGAAGCUACUAAAACUGCUACGGUGUCAGUGACGGAGCAGCGGAGGGAAUGUCAAUCCACUAGACUAUGAUAGUAGAAGGGUGGUAGCGAGUAUUUCGGACGGGGGUUCGAAUCCCCCCAGGUCCACU
Molecule: transfer-messenger RNA, 339 nt
Filed under: human gut metagenome
Rfam family: transfer-messenger RNA
About the family: Bacterial tmRNA, also known as 10Sa RNA or SsrA, is named for its dual tRNA and mRNA-like properties. Its role is to liberate the mRNA from a stalled ribosome.
Source: RNAcentral